This 253-nucleotide ribosomal RNA is filed under the name uncultured bacterium. RNAcentral's name for it is "partial 16S ribosomal RNA". It matches the Rfam family "Bacterial small subunit ribosomal RNA", at positions 524 to 776 of the family's 1533-position model. The record is from RNAcentral.
UACGUAGGGUGCGAGCGUUAAUCGGAAUUACUGGGCGUAAAGCGUGCGCAGGCGGUUGUGCAAGACAGGGGUGAAAUCCCCGGGCUCAACCUGGGAACUGCAUUUGUGACUGCAAGGCUGGAGUGCGGCAGAGGGGGAUGGAAUUCCGCGUGUAGCAGUGAAAUGCGUAGAUAUGCGGAGGAACACCGAUGGCGAAGGCAAUCCCCUGGGCCUGCACUGACGCUCAUGCACGAAGGCGUGGGGAGCAAACAGG